GUGCCAGCAGCCGCGGUAAUACGUAGGAGGCAAGCGUUGUCCGGAUUUACUGGGCGUAAAGCGCGCGCAGGCGGCAGUGCAAGUAAGGUGUGAAAUCUCCCUGCUCAACGGGGAGGGUGCAUUUUAGACUGCACAGCUAGAGGUCGGUAGAGGGGGGUGGAAUUGCUGGUGUAGCGGUGAAAUGCGUAGAGAUCAGCAGGAACACCCGUGGCGAAGGCGGCCCCCUGGGCCGUACCUGACGCUGAGGCGCGAAGGCUAGGGGAGCGAACGGGAUUAGAUACCCCGGUAGUCC
This 292-nucleotide ribosomal RNA is filed under the name uncultured bacterium. RNAcentral describes it as "partial 16S ribosomal RNA". It matches the Rfam family "Bacterial small subunit ribosomal RNA", at positions 505 to 796 of the family's 1533-position model. The record is from RNAcentral.